RNAcentral lists this long non-coding RNA (314 nucleotides) under Durio zibethinus. Its description in RNAcentral is "long non-coding RNA (DZIB_LNC001036)". Lineage: Eukaryota; Viridiplantae; Streptophyta; Magnoliopsida; Malvales; Malvaceae. The record is from RNAcentral.
CCAAACUUAUGAACAAAUGAUCGGAUUAAAGCUCAAUUUGAUGUCACUGAUAUAUCAAAUAGAGAGAAAAAAUUAAAAAGAAAAAUAUCAAUUCAGAAAUUACUCAGACAGUAACAGAGAGACAUGAGAGAAUUUCCUAGUUCAUGGGUAAGAUGACCAAAAAAGAGGAACAAAAACAACAAAGAAAAUCAAAUUUUUAUCACCCAAAAAAAAAAAAAAGCAAAUUUAAUUCGCAGAUCGGUAGAUAGACGGAAACUCAUGUGAGAACUGAGAUGAUGGAGAAGAUGAAACUUUAGAUGAAUAUUUAUUUGUUC